This 299-nucleotide signal recognition particle RNA is filed under the name Bombus terrestris (buff-tailed bumblebee). RNAcentral's name for it is "misc RNA ENSBTSG00005032144.1". It matches the Rfam family "Metazoan signal recognition particle RNA". From Rfam's summary of the family: The signal recognition particle (SRP) is a universally conserved ribonucleoprotein. It is involved in the co-translational targeting of proteins to membranes. Lineage: Eukaryota; Metazoa; Arthropoda; Insecta; Hymenoptera; Apidae. The record is from RNAcentral.
GCUGGGAGUGUGGCGGCUCCUGUAAUCCGGCUACUCGGAGGCUAGUUAUGAUGGAGGGUCUGAGAGCGGGGGUUCCUGUUGGUGCGGGACUCACGUUGACUGGGCGUCCGCGCUAAGCUCGCCAUCAAUAUGGACAUCCUGUCGAGGAAUCCAGGAUGCCCAGGUUGGCUAGGGAGAGGCGAAACGGGUCAGGGGGGAAACCCAGCAGCCAAAAGUCUCCGUGGCGGGCAGUAGCGGGAUCGCGCCCGGGAGUGGGACCGCAGUGACAGCCUGGUCAAUAUGACUCGACUCAUAACUUU